UUUUCAGGCUUGGAUUGGUUUUUUGAUGCAGUAGAGAAGCCGUUUCCUUUGAACUUGGUCCAUCGGACAGAUAUAGACAUGGAGAAGCUUUUCAAUGUCAAUCAUUCACUACUUUGUUUGGACCUUGCUUCUUCACUUAAUGCUUGCUUUCCGUCUUGCCUUUGCUGGGCUACGAUAGGCUGUACUCCAAUACGAAAUAAGAUUGUACAUGAAGGUUGGUGA
Molecule: ribosomal RNA, 222 nt
Filed under: Triticum aestivum (bread wheat)
Lineage: Eukaryota; Viridiplantae; Streptophyta; Magnoliopsida; Poales; Poaceae
Description: partial small subunit ribosomal RNA
Source: RNAcentral